Molecule: ribosomal RNA, 439 nt
Filed under: uncultured bacterium
Lineage: Bacteria
Description: bacterial SSU rRNA
Rfam family: Bacterial small subunit ribosomal RNA
Source: RNAcentral
CCUACGGGGGGCAGCAGUGGGGAAUAUUGCACAAUGGGGGAACCCUGAUGCAGCAACGCCGCGUGAGCGAUGAAGGCCUUCGGGUCGUAAAGCUCUGUCCUAAGGGAAGAAUACUGACGGUACCUUAGGAGGAAGCCCCGGCUAACUACGUGCCAGCAGCCGCGGUGAUACGUAGGGGGCUAGCGUGAUCCGGAAUUACUGGGCGUAAAGGGUGCGUAGGCGGCCCUUCAAGUCAGAGGUGAAAGGCUACGGCGCAACCGUAGUUAGCCUUUGAAACUGUAGGGCUUGAGUUCAGGAGGGGAGAGUGGAGUUCCCAGUAUAGUGGUGAAAUGCGUAGAUAUUGGGAGGAACACCAGUGGCGAAGGCGGCCCUCUGGACUGUAACUGACGCUGAGGCACUAAAGCGUGGGGAGCGAACAGGAUGAGUUACCCGUGUAGUC